RNAcentral lists this ribosomal RNA (1371 nucleotides) under uncultured bacterium. Its description in RNAcentral is "bacterial SSU rRNA". It matches the Rfam family "Bacterial small subunit ribosomal RNA". The record is from RNAcentral.
AGAGUUUGAUCCUGGCUCAGGACGAAUUUUGGCGGCGCGCCUAACACAUGCAAGUCGAACGAGCGAGAGAGAGCUUGCUUUCUCGAGCGAGUGGCGAACGGGUGAGUAACGCGUGAGGAAUCUGCCUCAAAGAGGGGGACAACAGUUGGAAACGACUGCUAAUACCGCAUAAGCCCACGGUGCCGCAUGGCACAGAGGGAAAAGGAGCAAUCCGCUUUGAGAUGGCCUCGCGUCCGAUUAGCUAGUUGGUGAGGUAACGGCCCACCAAGGCAACGAUCGGUAGCCGGACUGAGAGGUUGAACGGCCACAUUGGGACUGAGACACGGCCCAGACUCCUACGGGAGGCAGCAGUGGGGAAUAUUGCACAAUGGGGGAAACCCUGAUGCAGCGACGCCGCGUGGAGGAAGAAGGUCUUCGGAUUGUAAACUCCUGUUGUUGGGGAAGAUAAUGACGGUACCCAACAAGGAAGUGACGGCUAACUACGUGCCAGCAGCCGCGGUAAAACGUAGGUCACAAGCGUUGUCCGGAAUUACUGGGUGUAAAGGGAGCGCAGGCGGGAAGACAAGUUGGAAGUGAAAUCUAUGGGCUCAACCCAUAAACUGCUUUCAAAACUGUUUUUCUUGAGUAGUGCAGAGGUAGGCGGAAUUCCCGGUGUAGCGGUGGAAUGCGUAGAUAUCGGGAGGAACACCGGUGGCGAAGGCGGCCUACUGGGCACCAACUGACGCUGAGGCUCGAAAGUGUGGGUAGCAAACAGGAUUAGAUACCCUGGUAGUCCACACCGUAAACGAUGAUUACUAGGUGUUGGAGGAUGACCCCCUUCAGUGCCGCAGUUAACACAAUAAGUAAUCCACCUGGGGAGUACGACCGCAAGGUUGAAACUCAAAGGAAUUGACGGGGGCCCGCACAAGCAAGUGGAGUAUGUGGUUUAAUUCGACGCAACGCGAAGAACCUUACCAAGUCUUGACAUCCCUUGACAGACAUAGAAAUAUGUAAUCUCUUCGGAGCAAGGAGACAGGUGGUGCAUGGUUGUCGUCAGCUCGUGUCGUGAGAUGUUGGGUUAAGUCCCGCAACGAGCGCAACCCUUAUGGUCAGUUACUACGCAAGAGGACUCUGGCCAGACUGCCGUUGACAAAACGGAGGAAGGUGGGGAUGACGUCAAAUCAUCAUGCCCUUUAUGACUUGGGCUACACACGUACUACAAUGGCGUUAAACAAAGAGAAGCAAGACCGCGAGGUGGAGCAAAACUCAGAAACAACGUCCCAGUUCGGACUGCAGGCUGCAACUCGCCUGCACGAAGUCGGAAUUGCUAGUAAUCGUGGAUCAGCAUGCCACGGUGAAUACGUUCCCGGGCCUUGCACACAAAGCCCGUCA